Molecule: transfer RNA, 71 nt
Filed under: Marmota monax (woodchuck)
Lineage: Eukaryota; Metazoa; Chordata; Mammalia; Rodentia; Sciuridae
Description: tRNA.Asp
Source: RNAcentral
GGGGUUGUGGCUUAGAGGUAGAGUGUUCACCUAUCACGUGUGAGGCCCUGGGUUUGAUCCUCAGCACUACA